Molecule: ribosomal RNA, 497 nt
Filed under: uncultured bacterium
Lineage: Bacteria
Description: partial 16S ribosomal RNA
Rfam family: Bacterial small subunit ribosomal RNA
Source: RNAcentral
GAUGAACGCUGGCGGCGUGCCUAAUACAUGCCAGUCGAGCGAACAGACGAGGAGCUUGCUCCUUUGACGUUAGCGGCGGACGGGUGAGUAACACGUGGGUAACCUACCUAUAAGACUGGGAUAACUUCGGGAAACCGGAGCUAAUACCGGAUAAUAUUUCGAACCGCAUGGUUCGAUAGUGAAAGAUGGCUUUGCUAUCACUUAUAGAUGGACCUGCGCCGUAUUAGCUAGUUGGUAAGGUAACGGCUUACCAAGGCAACGAUACGUAGCCGACCUGAGAGGGUGAUCGGCCACACUGGAACUGAGACACGGUCCAGACUCCUACGGGAGGCAGCAGUAGGGAAUCUUCCGCAAUGGGCGAAAGCCUGACGGAGCAACGCCGCGUGAGUGAUGAAGGUCUUCGGAUCGUAAAACUCUGUUAUUAGGGAAGAACAGACGUGUAAGUAACUGUGCACGUCUUGACGGUACCUAAUCAGAAAGCCACGGCUAACUACGUG